This 440-nucleotide ribosomal RNA is filed under the name uncultured bacterium. RNAcentral's name for it is "partial 16S ribosomal RNA". It matches the Rfam family "Bacterial small subunit ribosomal RNA", at positions 338 to 795 of the family's 1533-position model. The record is from RNAcentral.
CCUACGGGAGGCAGCAGUGGGGAAUAUUGCACAAUGGGGGAAACCCUGAUGCAGCAACGCCGCGUGAGUGAAGAAGUAUUUCGGUACGUAAAGCUCUAUCAGCAGGGAAGAAAAUGACGGUACCUGACUAAGAAGCCCCGGCUAACUACGUGCCAGCAGCCGCGGUAAUACGUAGGGGGCAAGCGUUAUCCGGAUUUACUGGGUGUAAAGGGAGCGUAGACGGCAGCGCAAGUCUGGAGUGAAAUCCCAUGGCUUAACCAUGGAACUGCUUUGGAAACCGUGCAGCUAGAGUGCAGGAGAGGUAAGCGGAAUUCCUAGUGUAGCGGUGAAAUGCGUAGAUAUUAGGAGGAACACCAGUGGCGAAGGCGGCUUACUGGACUGUAACUGACGUUGAGGCUCGAAAGCGUGGGGAGCAAACAGGAUUAGAUACCCUGGUAGUC